RNAcentral lists this transfer RNA (85 nucleotides) under Felis catus (domestic cat). It matches the Rfam family "tRNA". From Rfam's summary of the family: Transfer RNA (tRNA) molecules are approximately 80 nucleotides in length. RNAcentral also lists the same sequence under 2 other names. Lineage: Eukaryota; Metazoa; Chordata; Mammalia; Carnivora; Felidae. The record is from Rfam by way of RNAcentral.
ACCUGGGUGUCUCAGUUGGUUGAGUGCCUGACUUUGGCUCAGGUCAUGAUCUCCCCGUCUGUGGGUUCGAGCCCCACAUUGGGCU